GAUGAACGCUGGCGGCGUGCCUAAUACAUGCAAGUCGAGCGAACGGACGAGAAGCUUGCUUCUCUGAUGUUAGCGGCGGACGGGUGAGUAACACGUGGAUAACCUACCUAUAAGACUGGGAUAACUUCGGGAAACCGGAGCUAAUACCGGAUAAUAUUUUGAACCGCAUGGUUCAAAAGUGAAAGACGGUCUUGCUGUCACUUAUAGAUGGAUCCGCGCUGCAUUAGCUAGUUGGUAAGGUAACGGCUUACCAAGGCAACGAUGCAUAGCCGACCUGAGAGGGUGAUCGGCCACACUGGAACUGAGACACGGUCCAGACUCCUACGGGAGGCAGCAGUAGGGAAUCUUCCGCAAUGGGCGAAAGCCUGACGGAGCAACGCCGCGUGAGUGAUGAAGGUCUUCGGAUCGUAAAACUCUGUUAUUAGGGAAGAACAUAUGUGUAAGUAACUGUGCACAUCUUGACGGUACCUAAUCAGAAAGCCACGGCUAACUACGUGCCAGCAGCCGCGGUAAUACGUAGGUGGCAAGCGUUAUCCGGAAUUAUUGGGCGUAAAGCGCGCGUAGGCGGUUUUUUAAGUCUGAUGUGAAAGCCCACGGCUCAACCGUGGAGGGUCAUUGGAAACUGGAAAACUUGAGUGCAGAAGAGGAAAGUGGAAUUCCAUGUGUAGCGGUGAAAUGCGCAGAGAUAUGGAGGAACACCAGUGGCGAAGGCGACUUUCUGGUCUGUAACUGACGCUGAUGUGCGAAAGCGUGGGGAUCAAACAGGAUUAGAUACCCUGGUAGUCCACGCCGUAAACGAUGAGUGCUAAGUGUUAGGGGGUUUCCGCCCCUUAGUGCUGCAGCUAACGCAUUAAGCACUCCGCCUGGGGAGUACGACCGCAAGGUUGAAACUCAAAGGAAUUGACGGGGACCCGCACAAGCGGUGGAGCAUGUGGUUUAAUUCGAAGCAACGCGAAGAACCUUACCAAAUCUUGACAUCCUUUGACAACUCUAGAGAUGGAGCCUUCCCCUUCGGGGGACAAAGUGACAGGUGGUGCAUGGUUGUCGUCAGCUCGUGUCGUGAGAUGUUGGGUUAAGUCCCGCAACGAGCGCAACCCUUAAGCUUAGUUGCCAUCAUUAAGUUGGGCACUCUAAGUUGACUGCCGGUGACAAACCGGAGGAAGGUGGGGAUGACGUCAAAUCAUCAUGCCCCUUAUGAUUUGGGCUACACACGUGCUACAAUGGACAAUACAAAGGGCAGCGAAACCGCGAGGUCAAGCAAAUCCCAUAAAGUUGUUCUCAGUUCGGAUUGUAGUCUGCAACUCGACUACAUGAAGCUGGAAUCGCUAGUAAUCGUAGAUCAGCAUGCUACGGUGAAUACGUUCCCGGGUCU
Molecule: ribosomal RNA, 1372 nt
Filed under: uncultured bacterium
Lineage: Bacteria
Description: bacterial SSU rRNA
Rfam family: Bacterial small subunit ribosomal RNA
Source: RNAcentral